Non-coding RNA from Oryza sativa Japonica Group (Japanese rice), 533 nucleotides. The record is from RefSeq and is a predicted model, not a curated record. Lineage: Eukaryota; Viridiplantae; Streptophyta; Magnoliopsida; Poales; Poaceae.
UCGCUCACCUCUCAUAUCCGCCUCUCUCGAUAGAAUUGAGAUCCCCUUUCCAUAUCCUCCUCCCAAUGUAGUGUUUGCGCUGCUGCCAGCUCUCUGAUGUCCAUGCCGAGAUUGCCUCCUUCCUUCUACGCUCCCUUGUCUGUGCGAUGAGACUACCAUUUCCUCCUACAUUCCCUCAUCUGUGCGAUGAGGUUAUCCCCUUCCUCCUACAAUCCCUCAUUUGCGACCAUCGCUAUAGUUAUCAAGAGGAUGUAUUGACUUACUCUAGAUCGCUUACAUCAAGACUCAAGGAGUGCGAGGAAAGGUGCAUACCCCUUUCCGUAUUCGUAAAUCUCGGUCGCUAUUGAUACGCAAGCAUGACGUUAUGGGCUCUAGUAAGAAUCCGAAAUGUUUAUACUUUGUGGUUUAAAUUUUUCACAAACCAUAGCCAUGAAAUUCACAAGAGACUGUCCCAUCGUAUCUUUUCUUGUUUGCACUAAUUCACAAGAGAAACACUUGCGAAUUAACAUGGUUCCCAAAAUUCACAGGAGAAA